This 3054-nucleotide long non-coding RNA is filed under the name Callithrix jacchus (white-tufted-ear marmoset). Its description in RNAcentral is "lncRNA (ENSCJAG00000082550.1)". Lineage: Eukaryota; Metazoa; Chordata; Mammalia; Primates; Cebidae. The record is from RNAcentral.
GUCAAAACAAUGUUUACAAUACUACCCUGUAUUUUAAUACAUAUACAUUUUGAGAUUUAAAAUAAAUUCCAAGCUGUUUAUAGUAGAAUCACAGGUGAUUUUGUUUUCUUCGUGUUGCUUAUCUCUAUUGUCUUAAUGUUUGAUGGGGAAAAAUAAGUGUAUUGCUUUCAAAAUAAGAGGGGAAAAAAGUAGUCUGGAAAACUAUUUUCAUUGCACAUCUGAUGGAGUUAAAAAUUGAGCCUAGUUCUUAUAACACAUUCUUGUAUUCAUGUAUCUUAACAAAUAAUACUUAUGGCCUGAGGUGAGCUUGCCCUCUGGUACUGCAGAAAAAAACCAAAGGCCCACUACCUGCCCUCUGACGACUUAACAGUUCUGCAACCCAGACAAGCAGAAAACUUCAAUCCCUGCCUUUGAAGUGAGACAUGAGGGCUCACCUCUGCCAAGGGCCUCUGAGGUCUCCACAGCUCCUUGGACUGACCUUGGAGCCAGCACUGCCUCCGGUACCUUGAGGGUGCCUGGGACCACCGCCCCUCUCCCGCCCCCGCCCGCAGGAAGGCUACUGACGUCCCAGGGGAUCAGGGUGUGGAUGAAGUAGCCUGGGCCUGCAGCUACUUUCCCAAGUCUACUUUCCCAUCCAGACAGCCUGUCCCACUGCCCUUGGACACCCACCUCGUCACACUCCUCUGUUCCUCCCCUUCCCAUCCUCUCUGUCCGGUGUCUUCCAGGCCAUCUCCAAAGAAACCUGCUGCUCCACCCCCAAUCUGUUGCUUGUGCCUUACUAGAGGUUUCUGCCCUUAUCAGCGCCAAGUCCCAGGGAAGGAAGAAACAUGCUCCAGGGCUGGAAGUUCUUCUUUGAGGGGAGGAAGUUCCCUAGAGUCUGCAGCAGAUGGGGGAGGCCCCAGUGGAGCGCACGUGGAUGCAUUUCUGGGAGGAAACCAAGUACCAUCCGCUCUCGUUCGCUCCCAUCCAGUGUUUUCUUCCCCCACCCUCAGCCUCACCCUGCUGACCUCUGGCUCCUGCUUAGCUCAGGAACUGUGGACUCAGAACAAAGUUUGAGGUUCUGCUUCUCCGAUUCACCCCUUUCUCCUUCCUGAUUACUGGCAUGGAGCCAGGCACUGCAGGACGGAAAUCAGGUAACUUUACAGAUGGGAGGAAUGAAGUGGUGCUUGUAGGGGCCUACACUGUUCGGGGAACCAAUGUAAACUGCAUGAGGACAGGGAUCUUGUCUGCAUGGUCCACAGAACUAUCCUAGCACAGUGCUGGCACAAGUUGAGCUCAUGAAAUGAAUGAGUCAUUUGAUAUUGUGAAUAUGCAUCCACUUAUUCAUACCUUAUGACUAAGAAAACAAGCUGUUAUUCCAUUUUAUGGAAAGGGCAACUGAGACACAAAAUUACAGGCAGGAAGCGAUCAAACUGGGGGUUGAAUCCAGAGCAAUCUGUCUCCAAAGCCUGUGUUCCUUCCACUGCAGCCCAUGGGGUCCAGGCAUCCUGCCCGUUGAUGCCUGAGGCACCAGGGAAUUAGGAGUGGCAGAGACCCAAACCUGUGAUUCCUGCCGAACCUUCUCCCUACCCUCCAGAUCCUGGAGAGGGCAUCCCACAAUGCUCUCCAUUCAUUUCUGGGCUCCAUGCCAUUGGCAUUGUCUUCCAGCUCUGGACUUCAGGCUAUGCCACUUUCAGACCUUCAGCCCCAGCCCCUUGCCCUGCUUGGGACUUUGAAGAUGAGGUUACAUGCCUCAGAUUUUCUCUCACCUCAGCUCUCAGGAUCCCAGCCAUACCUGCUCUGCCCCCUCCCCUCUAACCCUCCAGCAACAUGGGCUUCCUCUGGGUACCUCAUGUCCAACCCUGACAAGCAGCAGAGCCCAGGGAAAAGAGGACCAGGUUCCGCUCUCCUGUCAUGUACCAGCUAGAUGACUCUAGGCAAUUCUUUUCAUCUCUCCAGGACUCAGGUUUUUCAACUGGAAAAUGGGGAUUUAAAAAAAAUCCAUGCCUAACUCCCAAGGCUGUCAUAAGAAUGGAUUAAGGCAAAAGCUGUGAAGUGCUUUGCAAAUGAGAAAACCUCCUAUUCUUCACUUUCUUCUGAUGGCAGAUCCCCAGCUCUCCUUCCCAAGGUUCUUGCUCUCCUGGCACAAUGUACCCUGAGCACUGCAGGUGCCUCUACCAUCUUUGCUUCAUGCAGAACCAUGACAUGUCACCAUUUAAAACCCCAAAAAAGAGCCUCACAAGUGGCAUAAUAAAGCAAUGGCUUAGAGCUCCAGCAAGAGUAAAAAUUCAACUCUCCAAAUUUUAGCUCUUCCACUUACUAACAGUGUUAACUUUGAACAAUCAUGUUACCUCUCUAAGCCUCAGUUUCCCCAUCUAAAAAGUGGGAUAAUAAUACCUGUCUUACCAGGUAGAGAAUGUGUAUGUAGCACUAGGGACAUAUUAAAUGCUCAAUAAAUGGCUACUAUUGUUAUCUCCUCUAAUUUUAGUCUCAACUCUUGAAAAAUGAGUCCAUUGUCAGACUUCGUAGCUUGUCACCUCUUUCUCGAUGGUCUCAGUGUCAGUUCCUUGGUGCAUAUCCUUGUUUUCCCCUCCUUCAGUGCUGACCACAGCCUCUUCUUCCUGCCCUCAAGCCAACCACCGCAUUCUGUUUUGACCUUAUCACCACCAUGGGUUUCCAGGGAGCCAUACCACAAAAGGAAGAGAGGACACAGAUGAGGGGAGGGGACCUGCCCAAAGUCACAGGGUUGCUACACUGGCAGAGCCGCUUCUAGGCUCACGGAGCCAGUCAUUGGGAUUGUCCCAACCCAAAGCCCCAACGGGAAUCGAAUUCCUUAAAGCCCAAGACUAGCUCCCCUUGUGAAUACCCUUCUUUUCAAAGUCCUUUGCAAGGGUGCCCUUGUGGCCUGGCCUCCCUUUGCCCAUGUCUUUCCCAGCCCAUCUUUUCAGCCCCUUCUGAUUACUGUCACUCUCCACUUCCUUGACUGUCUUUCUCCACCAGUAAGCUUUCUUCCACAUGAUUCCUUCAUAGCUUGUUCAUGCAUGAGCCAGGCCUCAUACUGGCUACUGGGGGUAC